Molecule: non-coding RNA, 224 nt
Organism: Coturnix japonica (Japanese quail)
Lineage: Eukaryota; Metazoa; Chordata; Aves; Galliformes; Phasianidae
Source: RefSeq, a predicted model, not a curated record
GAACUGCCUGGAAGGCCACGUAGAUGAAGAUGGGCUCCUUGGGGCUGUGUGAUGCCAGGAUCUUGCUGACACGCUGGGCAUAGAGGAAGGGCCAGGAAGACUCUUUCCUUUAGAGGAACUCCAGCACGGAAUCAGAGAAUAACUCAAGUUGGAAGGGAUCCAUCAGGAGUCCAACUCCAGCAGUGAUGAAAUAUCUACCAAUACAUUGGGAUACCUGCCUUGCA